AACGAACGCUGGCGGCAGGCCUAACACAUGCAAGUCGAGCGAGGUAGCAAUACCUAGCGGCGGACGGGUGAGUAACGCGUGGGAACGUACCCUUUGCUACGGAAUAGCCCCGGGAAACUGGGAGUAAUACCGUAUGUGCCCUUCGGGGGAAAGAUUUAUCGGCAAAGGAUCGGCCCGCGUUGGAUUAGGUAGUUGGUGGGGUAAUGGCCUACCAAGCCGACGAUCCAUAGCUGGUUUGAGAGGAUGAUCAGCCACACUGGGACUGAGACACGGCCCAGACUCCUACGGGAGGCAGCAGUGGGGAAUCUUAGACAAUGGGCGCAAGCCUGAUCUAGCCAUGCCGCGUGAGUGAUGAAGGCCUUAGGGUUGUAAAGCUCUUUCAGAUGGGAAGAUAAUGACGGUACCAUCAGAAGAAGCCCCGGCUAACUCCGUGCCAGCAGCCGCGGUAAAGUCAC
This 455-nucleotide ribosomal RNA is filed under the name uncultured bacterium. RNAcentral describes it as "bacterial SSU rRNA". It matches the Rfam family "Bacterial small subunit ribosomal RNA", at positions 29 to 526 of the family's 1533-position model. The record is from RNAcentral.